ACGAAGGUCCCAAGCGUUGUUCGGAUUUACUGGGCGUAAAGCGUCUGUAGGCGGUAGGGUAAGUCAGAUGUGAAAUCCCGGAGCUCAACUCCGGAACUGCAUCCGAUACUGCCUUACUAGAGGGUCGGAGGGGAGUCUGGAAUUCUCGGUGUAGCAGUGAAAUGCGUAGAUAUCGAGAGGAACACUAGUGGCGAAGGCGAGACUCUGGACGACACCUGACGCUGAGAGACGAAGGCCAGGGUAGCGAAAAGG
RNAcentral lists this ribosomal RNA (252 nucleotides) under uncultured bacterium. Its description in RNAcentral is "partial 16S ribosomal RNA". It matches the Rfam family "Bacterial small subunit ribosomal RNA", at positions 525 to 776 of the family's 1533-position model. The record is from RNAcentral.